RNAcentral lists this ribosomal RNA (497 nucleotides) under uncultured bacterium. RNAcentral's name for it is "partial 16S ribosomal RNA". It matches the Rfam family "Bacterial small subunit ribosomal RNA", at positions 28 to 507 of the family's 1533-position model. The record is from RNAcentral.
GAUGAACGCUGGCGGCGUGCCUAAUACAUGCAAGUCGAGCGAACAGACGAGGAGCUUGCUCCUCUGACGUUAGCGGCGGACGGGUGAGUAACACGUGGAUAACCUACCUAUAAGACUGGGAUAACUUCGGGAAACCGGAGCUAAUACCGGAUAAUAUAUUGAACCGCAUGGUUCAAUAGUGAAAGACGGUUUUGCUGUCACUUAUAGAUGGAUCCGCGCCGCAUUAGCUAGUUGGUAAGGUAACGGCUUACCAAGGCAACGAUGCGUAGCCGACCUGAGAGGGUGAACGGCCACACUGGAACUGAGACACGGUCCAGACUCCUACGGGAGGCAGCAGUAGGGAAUCUUCCGCAAUGGGCGAAAGCCUGACGGAGCAAAGCCGCGUGAGUGAUGAAGGUCUUCGGAUCGUAAAACUCUGUUAGUAGGGAAGAACAAAUGUGUAAGUAACUAUGCACGUCUUGACGGUACCUAAUCAGAAAGCCACGGCUAACUACGUG